This 443-nucleotide ribosomal RNA is filed under the name uncultured bacterium. Its description in RNAcentral is "partial 16S ribosomal RNA". It matches the Rfam family "Bacterial small subunit ribosomal RNA", at positions 338 to 795 of the family's 1533-position model. The record is from RNAcentral.
CCUACGGGAGGCAGCAGUGGGGAAUAUUGGGCAAUGGGCGCAAGCCUGACCCAGCAACGCAGCGUGAAGGAAGAAGGCUUUCGGGUUGUAAACUUCUUUUCUGAGGGACGAAAAACGUGACGGUACCUCAGGAAUAAGCCACGGCUAACUACGUGCCAGCGGCCGCGGUAAUACGUAGGUGGCAAGCGGUAUCCGGAUUUGUUGGGUGUAAAGGGCGUGUAGGCGGGAAAGCAAGUCAGAUGGUAAAACUAAGGGCUCAACCCUGAGCCUGCAUUUGAAACUGUUUUUCUUGAGUGCUGGGGAGGUAAUCGGAAUUCCGGGUGUAGCGGUGAAAUGCGUAGAUAUACGGAGGAACACCAGUGGCGAAGGCGGAUUGCUGGACAGUAACUGACGCUGAGGCGCGAAAGCGUGGGGAGCAAACAGGAUUAGAUACCCGUGUAGUC